GUAAAAUACUCUUAAAAAAAAAUUGCUUUAAAUCUCAGGUCUCGUGGGCUCAUUGAGUGUCUGCCGCUUCAGUCACAUUUGCAACUGCCGGCGGAAUCGGUAUCUACUCCCGGUUGGCGCGCACAUUGUCGUGGUUUUUUCUCUCUGCUCAUCAUUUGCGUGCUCGACAUACGUAUACGUACGUAAUACAUACUUCGCACCAGUAAUUGCUCUGCUCACCCCCUACAAAUCGAAAGUGUCUCGUGUUUUUGUUCAUUUGCAGUCGAAUCGCGUUAAAAUUUUGCAAAAAACAGACCCAAACGCCUAAAAUAAAAUGAGUUUGCAAUCUAUUAAAUACAGUCCGGGAAAAUUGGAUAUUUUGGACCAGUUGUUGCUGCCAGUACAAUCUAAGUACGUGGCCGUCAAAGGUGUCGAAGAUGGAUGGAAAGCCAUUAAUAAAAUGCAGGUAAGCAGAAAUUUGUUUUUACAAGCAUUAGAACAAAUAU
This is a long non-coding RNA of Rhagoletis zephyria (snowberry fruit fly), 485 nucleotides long. RefSeq lists it as uncharacterized. NCBI's taxonomy places the organism in Eukaryota, Metazoa, Arthropoda, Insecta, Diptera, Tephritidae. The record is from RefSeq and is a predicted model, not a curated record.